CCUACGGGAGACAGCAGUGGGGGAUAUUGCACAAUGGGGGGAACCCUGAUGCAGCGACGCCGCGUGGGUGAAGAAGCGCCUCGGCGCGUAAAGCCCUGUCAGCAGGGAAGAAAAUGACGGUACCUGUAGAAGAAGCCCCGGCUAACUACGUGCCAGCAGCCGCGGUAAUACGUAGGGGGCCAGCGUUAUCCGGAUUUACUGGGUGUAGAGGGGGCACAGACGGCGAUGCAAGCCAGGAGUGAAAGCCCGGGGCCCAACCCCGGGACUGCUCUUGGAACUGCGUGGCUCGAGUGCAGGAGGGGCAGGCGGAAUUCCUGGUGUAGCGGUGAAAUGCGUAGAUAUCAGGAGGAACACCGGUGGCGAAGGCAGCCUGCUGGACUGCAACUGACGUUGAGGCCCGAAAGCGUGGGGAGCAAACAGGAUUAGAUACCCGUGUAGUC
This 440-nucleotide ribosomal RNA is filed under the name uncultured bacterium. RNAcentral's name for it is "partial 16S ribosomal RNA". It matches the Rfam family "Bacterial small subunit ribosomal RNA", at positions 338 to 795 of the family's 1533-position model. The record is from RNAcentral.